GUGCCCGCUUCGGCAGCGCAUUUACUAAAAUUGGAACGACACAGAGAAGAUUAGCAUGGCCCCUGCACAAGGAUGACACGCAGAUUCGUGAAACAUUCCAUAUUUUA
RNAcentral lists this small nuclear RNA (107 nucleotides) under Prolemur simus (greater bamboo lemur). The record is from RNAcentral. Lineage: Eukaryota; Metazoa; Chordata; Mammalia; Primates; Lemuridae.